UACAGAGGGGGCAAGCGUUGUUCGGAAUUACUGGGCGUAAAGGGCGCGUAGGCGGCUCUUUAAGUCGGGGGUGAAAUCCUGGAGCUCAACUCCAGAACUGCCUUCGAUACUGAAGAGCUUGAGUCCGGGAGAGGUGAGUGGAACUGCGAGUGUAGAGGUGAAAUUCGUAGAUAUUCGCAAGAACACCAGUGGCGAAGGCGGCUCACUGGCCCGGUACUGACGCUGAGGUGCGAAAGCGUGGGGAGCAAACAGG
Molecule: ribosomal RNA, 253 nt
Filed under: uncultured bacterium
Lineage: Bacteria
Description: partial 16S ribosomal RNA
Rfam family: Bacterial small subunit ribosomal RNA
Source: RNAcentral